Maniola jurtina (meadow brown) is the source of this 89-nucleotide long non-coding RNA. RefSeq lists it as uncharacterized. Lineage: Eukaryota; Metazoa; Arthropoda; Insecta; Lepidoptera; Nymphalidae. The transcript has 3 exons. The record is from RefSeq and is a predicted model, not a curated record.
AGUUAUGUGAUUUUGAUCUAAAAGUAAAGCAUAUUUUUUCAAAAAAGUGAUGUUUAAAAGAGUCUCCUGAAAACUUAUGAUUUUCCACA